AUUCCAUACAUACUUACUACAAUUUUCUUUUCAUUGAUAGACGAAGAUAUGAGUUUUUUUUAAAGUAGUGACGAAUUAUUUAUGUCUCCUGAUUUUUAGGACGUGUCUUCUGAUUUUAUUCAAAUUGGACCUGGCAACACUGAAAUAAUGUCAGAAUCUUUUCUUUGACAUUAUUUACAAUUUAUAUUAUUAUACAUAAUUGGUGUUUUCACUAUUCUUAAGCUAAAAAAAAAACACCUGUUUGUCCUCCAAAGAAUACCUUAUUGGAUUCACAGGAUGAUUGAGGAUUUGAGGGAAGCAUGUUAAGACUGUGACAAUAUGGUCUUAAGGCAGCCGGCCUCAUUGAGAACAAGAAAAUACCCUGCUUUAUGUAGCGGUUGUUAUUUGUUAAUAUGACAUGUCUCGGCAGUGUAGUGACCCUGUGCUUAAUUAAGGCUUCAGGUUCAAAUCAUGGUAAACCAAAAUGAAAGCGGCCGGUUGAAAAAGUAGCAGAGUCGAAAAUGGAAAUUAAUGAGCUGCAGAAGUAAAUUUUAGAAGAAUAAUUCUCUUCUUCUUUGUUGUAUCCUUGUGGCUGAGGGACAUGACGAAUGAGGCCAUUCUUUACCAGUGUUCUUCACGCCACUCAAUCCUGGGCCCGGUGCAUGCUAGCCUGCAGUGGUCUUUGUCAGAGACGUUAUUGUGUCUGCCCAAUGUGUGCCCAUGCUGCCACUUCUUCACUUCCUUGCCGUGUCCUGUGAUUAUGGGAAGAAUAAUAUGCAAAUAAAAACCAACAAUGGGCCAUCGAAGAACAGGAGAGGGCAUGUGGGCCUUAGAGAAAGAGUUGUUAAUGUGAAGACUAAAUAAAUUCAACAAAUAAAAUCUCAACUAUAAUACUGUCUUUGGUACACCCGCUACCAUCGCGUCAAAUAGUGAAAGUGCAGUUCAGUGUAAGCAAAGACAGUGUACAAGAUAUACCACUCACCUAUGGCAUUAGUGUUACUAGACCACAUUAAUACAUAAAGACUAUUUUUCUAAACUUGUGUAUAGCUCUGUGUUGUCUUAAUAAAUCCUAUUGGAAACAC
RNAcentral lists this long non-coding RNA (1061 nucleotides) under Leguminivora glycinivorella. Its description in RNAcentral is "uncharacterized LOC125237916". Lineage: Eukaryota; Metazoa; Arthropoda; Insecta; Lepidoptera; Tortricidae. The record is from RNAcentral.